Molecule: long non-coding RNA, 1173 nt
Organism: Prosopis cineraria
Lineage: Eukaryota; Viridiplantae; Streptophyta; Magnoliopsida; Fabales; Fabaceae
Exons: 3
Source: RefSeq, a predicted model, not a curated record
CAUCAGCUUUCCCAUUCUUUCCUUCCCCAUCUGCGAUGGUUCCAGAACUAACGGGAGAGGGUGAGAGCUCGGUGUGCCGUCUUUCAUCCUCUGUUUCGAUCGUCUAUUGCCGGCAGUCAUGGGUGUGCUUCCGCCAUUGGGAUGGGUUCUGUAAGCUCCCGAUUUCUUCCUCCUCCUCCGUUUUAGCAUCACGUGCUUUCCUUCUCUCUAUCUCCGUUCUGCGUUGUUACUGUCUUGGGUGAGUGGAAGGGCUGGAUUCUUUCUUUCCAUUUCUCCUUUGCUUGUUGAUUCAUCUUUAACAAUGAAGACAACAUCAUCAUCAUCAUCAACAACCACGUCAAAAAUGAGCUUGAAGCUUUUAGUUGACACAAAAGCUGAGAGACUUCUCUUCGCCGAAGCAUCUACUUCGUCGACUUCCUUUGCAACCUCCACCGCUUGUCAAUCGGCGCCAUCACGAACCUGCUAACCAAAACCAACAUGGUGCGUUCCUAAGGCAAACUUUAUGAAGGCAUCGAGAAUCUUAGCAACGCAUACUUGCUACAACAUAACCAAGGUAAAGACAUCUUGCUGAAGCCAAAAACCCUAAUCCCUCUUGGCUUCCUCUUGCUACCAAAUUACGAAGGGAAUGCUGAAGAAGAAGAAGAAGAGUCUCCUGAGCUGUAUAUGUGCAGGAAUAGGUGUCCGUACAAUGUGACUCUAGUUAUGAACACCCGGUGUUCGGAUUGUAGUAAUACUAUGAAAUAUCCUGUGACGUAUGUGGGGAAGAAGAAGAAGAUGGAAGUGGAAGGUUUUGGUGGGGAGGAUGGGUUUGGGAAGGAAGCUGUGACGUAUAUGGUAAUGGAUGAUCUUGUGGUUCAACCUAUGUCUCCUAUCUCGUGUAUUGCUUUGCUCAACAAGUUCAACAUUAAAGAUGUUAGUUCACUACAAUAAAUGGUUGUUGAGUUUGGAAUAUAAGAGGGUAUCCAACUACUGAAGGCUUCUCUGCAGUACAGCAAGGCUCUAACAAGUGUUUUCCUCAAGGAUAUCAAGUUUAAGAAAGAAUCAAAUAUGAUCCUUCAUUAAUGUCAUUGUGUGUGUGUAUACUAAAUGGUAUUACCUAUUUGAUUUCAUUUAAUUGUUCUUUGUCACGGAUAAUUACAUAGUUAUGCUUAUCAAAUAAAAUUAGCAUGGAUG